AGACGUCUACAUUAGAUACCCCCGUAGUCCCAGCCGUAAACUAUGCGCGUUAGGUGUAUCGGUGACCACGAGUUACCGAGGUGCCGAAGGGAAACCGUGAAACGUGCCGCCUGGGAAGUACGGUCGCAAGGCUGAAACUUAAAGGAAUUGGCGGGGGAGCACCACAACAGGUGGAGCCUGCGGUUUAAUUGGACUCAACGCCGGGAGGCUCACCGGAUAGGACAGCAGAAUGAUUGCCGGGCUGAAGACCCUGCAUGACUAGCUG
This 265-nucleotide ribosomal RNA is filed under the name uncultured archaeon. Its description in RNAcentral is "partial 16S ribosomal RNA". It matches the Rfam family "Archaeal small subunit ribosomal RNA", at positions 714 to 982 of the family's 1478-position model. The record is from RNAcentral.